RNAcentral lists this ribosomal RNA (227 nucleotides) under uncultured bacterium. RNAcentral's name for it is "partial 16S ribosomal RNA". It matches the Rfam family "Bacterial small subunit ribosomal RNA", at positions 15 to 230 of the family's 1533-position model. The record is from RNAcentral.
GAUCUGGCUCAGGAUGAACGCUAGCUACAGGCUUAACACAUGCAAGUCGUGGGGCAGCAUGGGAGAUGCUUGCAUUUCCCGAUGGCGACCGGCGCACGGGUGAGUAACGCGUAUCCAACCUGCCCUUCACUCCGGCACAGCCCGUCGAAAGACGGAUUAAUGCGGGAUGCAGUCAGAAAGAUGCAUAUUAAUUUGACGAAAGGUCUUCGGACCGGUGAGGGAUGGGG